CCUACGGGGGGCAGCAGUGAGGAAUAUUGGUCAAUGGACGAGAGUCUGAACCAGCCAAGUAGCGUGAAGGAUGACUGCCCUAUGGGUUGUAAACUUCUUUUAUAUGGGAAUAAAAUGUUCCACGUGUGGGAUUUUGUAUGUACCAUAUGAAUAAGGAUCGGCUAACUCCGUGCCAGCAGCCGCGGUAAUACGGAGGAUCCGAGCGUUAUCCGGAUUUAUUGGGUUUAAAGGGAGCGUAGGUGGAUUGUUAAGUCAGUUGUGAAAGUUUGCGGCUCAACCGUAAAAUUGCAGUUGAAACUGGCAGUCUUGAGUACAGGAGAGGUGGGCGGAAUUCGUGGUGUAGCGGUGAAAUGCUUAGAUAUCACGAAGAACUCCGAUUGCGAAGGCAGUUCACUGGACUGCAACUGACACUGAGGCUCGAAAGUGUGGGUAUCAAACAGGAUUAGAUACCCCUGUAGUC
RNAcentral lists this ribosomal RNA (460 nucleotides) under uncultured bacterium. RNAcentral describes it as "partial 16S ribosomal RNA". It matches the Rfam family "Bacterial small subunit ribosomal RNA", at positions 338 to 795 of the family's 1533-position model. The record is from RNAcentral.